GAUUAAGACCCGAAGCCAAGCGAUCUACCCAUGAGCAGGGUGAAUCUUUUAGAAAUAAAAGAGGAGGCCCGAACCCUUUCGUCGUACAACGCGUUGGGAUGACUUGUGGGUCGCAGUGAAAAGCUAAUCGAGCUUGGUAAUAGCUGGUUCUCUCCGAAACAUCUUUAGGGAUGGCGUUAUGUGUUCCCUCUGGGGGUAGAGCACUGGAAGGUUGGAACAGGGAGAAAUCUCGUCCAACCUAUCAAACUCCGAAUACCAGAGAUUAAAAACAUAGCAGUAAGACUACGGGCGCUAAGGUUCGUCGGUCUAAAGGAAAACAGUCCAGAUCUCAAGCUAAGGUCCCUAAAUUUAUACUAAGUGCACUUAAGGUGGUGAAAUUUCACUGACAACGAGGAGGUUGGCUUAGAAGCAGCCAUCCUUUAAAGAUAGCGUAACAGCUCACUCUUUCAGAGAUUUUGCGCCGCAGAUUAUCGGGGCUAAGUAUAAUACCGAAGCUGAGGGCUUGUGGAUUCUUCGGAAUUCAUGAGCGGUAGGAGAGUAUUCGUGUCUGCGCUGAAGCCAAAGGGGUGACCCAUGGUGGAGCGUCACGAAGUAAGAAUGUUGGCACAAGUAACCACAAUGCGGGUGAGAUCCCCGCACGCCGAAAAAUCAAGGUUUCCUCUGCAAUGACAAUCAGCGGAGGGUUAGUCGGUCCUAAGGAAAUGACGAAAGUUGGAUUCGAUGGACAGACGGUUAAUAUUCCGUCACUUGAUUAUGGUGCGAUGGAGGGACGGAGUGUAUUAUGAUGAGCCUAUUAUUGGAUUUAGGUUCUUACUAAGAGGCCGUACUGUAGGUAAAUCCGCAGUAUAUAAGCCGAUUUAGAGAGAAAAUUUCGCGGGCUUGCCCAAGAGAAAUUCAUCAAAAAACGCUUCCCAGAAAAACUUCUAAGCAUAACCAUAAUCAAACCGUACCUAAAACCGACACAGGUGAUUUGGUCGAGAAGACCUAGGCGAACGAGUUAGAUGUCCUCAAGGAACUCGGCAAAAAAGCGACCGUAACUUCGGAAUAAGGUCUGCCCAUCUUCGGAUGGGCCGCAGCUAAAGUAUCCCUGGCGACUGUUUAUCAAAAACACAGCUCCCUGCGAACUCGCAAGAGGAUGUAUAGGGGGUGACACCUGACCAAUGCCGGAAGGUUAAAUAUUGGCGGUGCCAAACAUUUUGUUCCUAAACUAAAAUAGACAAUUUAUCAAGAAUGAAUGUCUUAGUUUGGUGAUAAAAUGUUUGGUGCUGACUGAUAUAAGCCCCGGUGAAUGUCGGCCGUAACUAUAACGGUCCUAAGGUAGCGAAAUACCUUGUCUGGUAAAUUCAGACGCGCACGAAUGGUGUAACGACUUGGGAACUGUCUCGAGGACUUGCUCGGUGAAAAUACAAUGGCGGUGAAGAUGCCGCCUACCUGCAGCUAGACGAAAAGACCCCAGGAGCUUUACUACAACUUGAUAUUGGUUGCACGCUUCUGCUGCGUAGAAUAGGUGGGAGACUUUGAUGCUUUUCUUUUGGGAAAAGUGGAGUCGUCAGUGAAAUACCACUCUGUAGAAAUGUGUAAUCUAACCAUUUGGGCAAAAACCACUUGGGACAGUAUCUGGUGGGUAGUUUUAGUGGGGCGCUAUCCUCCUAAAGAGUAACGGAGGAGCCUACAAAGGUCAGUUAGGCGUGAAUGGAAAUCAUGCCGAUAGUGUAAUGGCAUAAACUGGCUUGACUGCAAGAUGUACAAAUCGAGCAGGUGCGAAAGCAGAGCAUAGUGAACCGACGGUACGCGUUAGAUGCGGCCGGAGAUUAACGGAUAAAAGUUACCCUGGGGAUAACAGGCUGGUACUACCUAAGAGUUCAUAUCGACGGUAGUGUUCGGCACCUUAACAUAUCGGGGUGCGGUACGAGAGAUCGUAUAGCUUGGGUAACAUUUUCAAGACCAAUGAACCAAUGAAAAUGUUAUUUAAAAAUCUUGGCUUAUAACGGUGAACGCCAUUUUUUCUUAAUACAAUACUUUUGUGUUAUAUUAAGUUGAAUGGUCAAUACCGUGGGAAGUCUAACUAAACUUGAACGAUCAAUAAUUAUUGGUAGUUUGCUUGGUGAUGGGUAUAUGAGAAUUAUACCUGGCAGAUCUAAUGCUUUUUUAGAAAUAAAUCAUUCAAUAAAAGCAAAAGAUUAUGUUGAUUUCAAAUACAAUAGUCUAAAAAGAUUUUGUAAAUCAGCACCAAUUGAACGAAAAAAUAACGGAGAUCGUAUAGCUUACAGAUUCUUUACCAAACAACACAAAGAUUUAACAUUAAUCUAUAAUUCUUUCUACAAAGGAAAAACAAAAGUUAUUCCAAAAGAUAUAGAGUUAAAUCCCAUGGUGUUAGCAAUAUGGUAUAUGGAUGAUGGAAGCAAAUCUCGUGAUAGUGAUAUCUACUUAAACACACAACAAUUUUCUUUUAAAGAUCAAAAGAUAUUGUUAAAUGCCUUACGAAAUAUAGAAGUAAGAGCUCGUUUAAAUAAAGAUAAAAAAUACUAUCGAAUUAGAAUCUUGAAAGAAAGUGUUUGUGAAUUUAUGAAAAUAAUUUCUCCGCACAUUAUAGAUUCAAUGAGGUACAAGUUAGUUAUGACCCCGUAGAGACUUGAUCUUAAUUUAAAAACAGAUCGGAGCGCUUUAAAUGCAAAGUGCUAAGACGCCAACUCCUAACUAUAAUUGAUUAUUAUAGAAGGAUGAAGAUAUAGUCCGCACCAUUAGUAAUAAUGGACAACGAGCGAUGUCGGCUCAACUUAUCCUGGGGGUGGAGAAGCUCCCAAGGGUUUGGCUGUUCGCCAAUUAAAAAGUUACGCGAGCUGGGUUCAGACCGUCGUGAGACAGGUUGGUCUCCUAUCUGCUGCAGGCGUUGAUUCUUGAAGAGGCUUGCCCCUAGUACGAGAGGACCGGGGUGAACUGACCUCUGGUGUAUCGGCUGUUCCGCCAGGAGCAUUGUCGAGUAGCUAUGUCAGGUUUAGAUAACCACUGAAAGCAUCUAAGUGGGAAACUAGCUCUAAGAUUAGGAAUCGUUAUGAGGACCGUGAGAGAUGAUCACGUUGAUAGGCACCAAGUGUAAGUAUGGCAACAUAUUUAGCUGAGGUGUACUAAUUAACCCAUCUCAUU
Molecule: ribosomal RNA, 3144 nt
Rfam family: Bacterial large subunit ribosomal RNA